This 73-nucleotide transfer RNA is filed under the name Fomitopsis pinicola. RNAcentral's name for it is "tRNA-Asn". It matches the Rfam family "tRNA". From Rfam's summary of the family: Transfer RNA (tRNA) molecules are approximately 80 nucleotides in length. Lineage: Eukaryota; Fungi; Basidiomycota; Agaricomycetes; Polyporales; Fomitopsidaceae. RNAcentral also lists the same sequence under 1 other name. The record is from RNAcentral.
GGUGUUAUGGCAGAGUGGUUAUUGCGGGGUACUGUUAAUACUCUUUACAAGGGUUCGAUUCCUUUUAACGCCU